UACGGAGGAUGCAAGCGUUAUCCGGAAUGAUUGGGCGUAAAGCGUCCGCAGGUGGCGAUGUAAGUCUGCUGUUAAAGAGUCUAGCUCAACUAGAUAAAAGCAGUGGAAACUACAUAGCUAGAGUACGUUCGGGGCAGAGGGAAUUCCUGGUGUAGCGGUGAAAUGCGUAGAGAUCAGGAAGAACACCAGUGGCGAAGGCGGCUCACUGGCCCGGUACUGACGCUGAGGGACGAAAGCUAGGGGAGCGAAUGGG
Molecule: ribosomal RNA, 253 nt
Filed under: uncultured bacterium
Lineage: Bacteria
Description: partial 16S ribosomal RNA
Rfam family: Bacterial small subunit ribosomal RNA
Source: RNAcentral